This 508-nucleotide ribosomal RNA is filed under the name uncultured bacterium. RNAcentral's name for it is "bacterial SSU rRNA". It matches the Rfam family "Bacterial small subunit ribosomal RNA", at positions 28 to 526 of the family's 1533-position model. The record is from RNAcentral.
GACGAACGCUGGCGGCAUGCCUAACACAUGCAAGUCGAACGGAGAAUAUCGAGCGGAAGGCUUCGGCCCGAAGCAUGAUAUUUCUUAGUGGCGGACGGGUGAGUAACGCGUGAGCAACCUGGCCUUAAGAGGGGGAUAACAUUGGGAAACCAAUGCUAAUACCGCAUAAGCCCACAAGCACAAAAGUGCAAGGGGGAAAAGGAGUAAUCCGCUUAAGGAUGGGCUCGCGUCCCAUUAGCUAGUUGGUAGGGUAAUGGCCUACCAAGGCAACGAUGGGUAGCCGGACUGAGAGGUUGAACGGCCACACUGGGGCUGAGACACGGCCCAGACUCCUACGGGAGGCAGCAGUGGGGGAUAUUGGGCAAUGGGCGAAAGCCUGACCCAGCAAUGCCGCGUGAAGGAAGACGGUCUUCGGAUUGUAAACUUCUGUCCUAUGGGAAGAAACAAAUGACGGUACCAUAGGAGGAAGCCCCGGCUAACUACGUGCCAGCAGCCGCCGCCGUAAAAC